CCUACGGGUGGCAGCAGUGAGGAAUAUUGGUCAAUGGCCGGAAGGCUGAACCAGCCAAGCCGCGUGAAGGACGAAGGUGCCAAGCAUUGUAAACUUCUUUUGUCAAGGGACAAAAUCAGGCUCGAGAGCCUGACCGAGGGUACUUGAAGAAAAAGCAUCGGCUAACUCCGUGCCAGCAGCCGCGGUAAUACGGAGGAUGCGAGCGUUAUCCGGAUUUAUGGGGUGUAAAGGGUGCGUAGGCGGACUGUUAAGUCAGCGGUAAAAGCCCGGGGCUAAACCCCGGCGAGCCGUUGAAAAUGGCUGUCUUGAGAUGUGGAGAGGUAUGCGGAAUGCGCAGUGUAGCGGUGAAAUGCUUAGAUAUUGCGCAGAACUCCGAUUGCGAAGGCAGCAUACCGGCGGCGAUCUGACGGUGAGGCACGAAAGCGUGGGUAGCGAACAGGAUUAGAUACCCGAGUAGUC
RNAcentral lists this ribosomal RNA (459 nucleotides) under uncultured bacterium. RNAcentral describes it as "partial 16S ribosomal RNA". It matches the Rfam family "Bacterial small subunit ribosomal RNA", at positions 338 to 795 of the family's 1533-position model. The record is from RNAcentral.